Molecule: long non-coding RNA, 308 nt
Organism: Sinocyclocheilus rhinocerous
Lineage: Eukaryota; Metazoa; Chordata; Actinopteri; Cypriniformes; Cyprinidae
Exons: 3
Source: RefSeq, a predicted model, not a curated record
CUUCAACACAGUGGAGCGUAAAUCUGCCUCUCAUACAGUUGUUGAAUGUGACCAGAACCGAAAAGAGGUGAUAGUCCGUACUGGAGGCGCCACAGACAAAGCAGCAAGAAAAGCAUACACUUUUGACAUGGUUUUUGGUCCUUCUGCCAAACAAAUUGACGUUUAUAGGAGUGUGGUUUGCCCCAUAUUAGAUGAAGUUAUCAUGGGCUAUAACUGUACUGUCUUUGCAUAUGGACAAACUGGAACAGGGAAAACCUUCACAAUGGAGGGUGAAAGAUCACCCAAUGAGGAGUUUACUUGGGAAGAGG